RNAcentral lists this ribosomal RNA (427 nucleotides) under uncultured bacterium. RNAcentral describes it as "partial 16S ribosomal RNA". It matches the Rfam family "Bacterial small subunit ribosomal RNA", at positions 355 to 774 of the family's 1533-position model. The record is from RNAcentral.
UGGGGAAUAUUGCACAAUGGGCGCAAGCCUGAUGCAGCCAUGCCGCGUGUAUGAAGAAGGCCUUCGGGUUGUAAAGUACUUUCAGCGAGGAGGAAGGCGUUGUGGUUAAUAACCGCAACGAUUGACGUUACUCGCAGAAGAAGCACCGGCUAACUCCGUGCCAGCAGCCGCGGUAAUACGGAGGGUGCAAGCGUUAAUCGGAAUUACUGGGCGUAAAGCGCACGCAGGCGGUCUGUCAAGUCGGAUGUGAAAUCCCCGGGCUCAACCUGGGAACUGCAUCCGAAACUGGCAGGCUAGAGUCUUGUAGAGGGGGGUAGAAUUCCAGGUGUAGCGGUGAAAUGCGUAGAGAUCUGGAGGAAUACCGGUGGCGAAGGCGGCCCCCUGGACAAAGACUGACGCACAGGUGCGAAAGCGUGGGGAGCAAACA